RNAcentral lists this ribosomal RNA (410 nucleotides) under uncultured bacterium. RNAcentral's name for it is "bacterial SSU rRNA". It matches the Rfam family "Bacterial small subunit ribosomal RNA", at positions 355 to 775 of the family's 1533-position model. The record is from RNAcentral.
UGGGGAAUCUUGCGCAAUGGGCGAAAGCCUGACGCAGCGACGCCGCGUGAGGGAUGAAGGCCUUCGGGUUGUAAACCUCUUUCGGCAGGGAAGAAGCCGCAAGGUGACGGUACCUGCAGAAGAAGCCCCGGCCAACUACGUGCCAGCAGCCGCGGUAAGACGUAGGGGGCGAGCGUUGUCCGGAUUUAUUGGGCGUAAAGCGCGCGUAGGCGGCCUGUUAAGUCGGGUGUGAAAACCCGGGGCUCAACCCCGGGCCUGCAUUCGAUACUGACAGGCUAGAGGCAGGCAGGGGAGAUCGGAAUUCCUGGUGUAGCGGUGAAAUGCGCAGAUAUCAGGAGGAACACCGGUGGCGAAGGCGGAUCUCUGGGCCUGUCCUGACGCUCAGGCGCGAAAGCUAGGGGAGCAAACAG